CCUACGGGAGGCAGCAGUGGGGAAUUUUGGACAAUGGGCGCAAGCCUGAUCCAGCAAUGCCGCGUGAGUGAAGAAGGCCUUCGGGUUGUAAAGCUCUUUUGUCAGGGAAGAAACGGCAGUUUCUAAUACAGAUUGCUAAUGACGGUACCUGAAGAAUAAGCACCGGCUAACUACGUGCCAGCAGCCGCGGUAAUACGUAGGGUGCAAGCGUUAAUCGGAAUUACUGGGCGUAAAGCGUGCGCAGGCGGUUUUGUAAGUUUGUCGUGAAAUCCCCGGGCUCAACCUGGGAAUGGCGAUGAAGACUGCAAGGCUAGAAUCUGGCAGAGGGGGGUAGAAUUCCACGUGUAGCAGUGAAAUGCGUAGAGAUGUGGAGGAACACCGAUGGCGAAGGCAGCCCCCUGGGUCAAGAUUGACGCUCAUGCACGAAAGCGUGGGGAGCAAACAGGAUUAGAUACCCUGGUAGUCCACGCCCUAAACGAUGUCUACUAGUUGUCGGGUUUUAAUUAACUUGGUAACGCAGCUAACGCGUGAAGUAGACCGCCUGGGGAGUACGGUCGCAAGAUUAAAACUUAAAGGGAAUUGACGG
This 586-nucleotide ribosomal RNA is filed under the name uncultured bacterium. RNAcentral describes it as "bacterial SSU rRNA". It matches the Rfam family "Bacterial small subunit ribosomal RNA", at positions 338 to 916 of the family's 1533-position model. The record is from RNAcentral.